Molecule: long non-coding RNA, 8242 nt
Filed under: Malus domestica (apple)
Lineage: Eukaryota; Viridiplantae; Streptophyta; Magnoliopsida; Rosales; Rosaceae
Description: long non-coding RNA (MDOM_LNC012644)
Source: RNAcentral
UUCGUGUGCUUAUAUGAUUUCCUUGAAUGUGAUUUGGAACGCAUUCCUAAAUCUCAUUCAUACUCUGGCCAGAGGUUCUAAAUCAUAUCAUAGAGUAUUCUCCCUCAAACCAUUUGAAGGUUAGAGAUCCCUUGUUGCGCAUUCACUUGCCUCCAUGACUAAGUGGCUUAACCCCAACGAUGCCGUGGACACCCCGAUAGGGUGACUUUGACAUAAUCAAAGAUCAAGGACUUAACCACAAGACAACUGUGAUGCCUCAAGUCAAAGGACUACUUUGCAUUAUCCCAACCAUGAGUUCUCAUGUGACAUGAAUAUGGGAACUCUUCGUUGAUCGUGUUCAGUGAACUCAUUCUCUAUUGAGCACCUACGUACUUGUCUUGAUGUCACACACACCAAUGACUCGAGACUAGUCACUCUCCCUGAGAGAAUACAUAGCACGUAUUGAUCUUAACGGACUAUCAAUGCCCAAUUGGCAAUCCUAUGAUCAGGAACGUUUAGGAUGUGUCUACGAAAGAAUGGUCUCAUGAAUCUAACUUCUUUAGAUUGCAUUCUCCCAAUAAGAUAUUCCUUGGACUUAUCGUUUAAGCAUAUAACAUUUAUAUGAGACGGCUCAAACAAUAAUCUUUACCUUUGAUAUUAAACUAGAUUAGUUUAACAUGUGAAAUGUCCGUAAAGUAUCAUCAUAUGAUUGGUUUUAGGGCACAUUUCCAACAAUCUCCCACUUGCACUAGAGCCAAUCAGCUUGGUCAUCAGUGAUGAUACCUCUUCUGUAGUCAUUUCAUAAAUGGCUGAAUAGUAGGCCUAGACAAUGGAUAUCUAUAUGUUAUCCAUAGAAGCAACCUUGAGAAUAACGACGUCACCAUUAUACAUGAUUCUCAAUCAUGUGGUUCAGUCUCUCAUUUGAGUUCGGACCUUGAUGAGACCUUGAUUCCCUGGCUUGAGCUAUCGCCCCAUUAGUGUCAUACACUUUCUGGUUGGAACCGAAUAGAGAGUUCAUAAAUGAACUUUCCCAUCCAAACAACAUUGUUGUAAACUUCUAUAUGGCAAUAUAUUUUGCAUUCAUAAUGGAACACACUAAAGUCAUUACUUUAAUGUUUCCAUCCAAAUAUCUCUUUAGUCAUAAUAAAGAGAUAUCUGUUUAUCUCUUCAUUCAUAAUGAAGAAACAUCCAAUGAUGGAUUAGAUUCAUAAUCUAAUACAUUUACGCUUCCAUUACGUUACUCUAAUUCUUCCUCGAUCUUUGAGGAAUUUAUCCUUUAGUAUUUCUUAAAUACUUAAGGACUCACUUGACAGUUGCCAUGGUUCUGAUCCUGGGCUUGCACUGAUAUCGUCUUGCACCUUUCUAGGUACAACUCAUAUCAAUGUUUUUCAUACAAUAUGAAAUACAUAAAUCACCUUUCUGCGUAUGCAUAAAGGAUUCUAUUUACGCAUUAUUUCUUUGAGAGUCAAAGAGUACGUUGUCUUUGAGAAGAGCAACUCCUUAGUCUUACUAGAGUUGUCCAUUUGAUUGAAGUUCAUCAUCAUAUGAGAAACUUCCUAUCAUCUUUUGUCUAUAUUUAGGGCUUGAUAUAAUCCAAUUAUAUCCUAAAAUCUAUCAAUAUAGAUUUCCAUCCCAUGUAUAUAUACUAUGUCUCCCAUAUACAUUCUAUCUUCAUAUAAUGUUUUAAAGUCAUAACUUUAACGAAGAAGUAUUCUUUUCAUUUCCAAAAUUAAUAUAUCAUAUAUAUAUUUAAAUUUUAGGAACAUGAUUAACUUCCAUAUACAUUCUAUCUUCAUAUAAUGUAUUAAAGUCAUAACUUUAAUGGAGAAGCAUUCUUUUCAUUUCCAAAAUUAAUAUAUCAUAUAUAUAUUUUAAAUUUUAGGAACAUUAUUAACUCCCACUAAUCUUUUGUAAACCUAGUAAACAAAAGAUUCAUUUACAUCUUUAUGAGAAAUCAAACGAUUUGAUCCUUUUCUCAUAAGAUGCUUAUAGCUCCCACUAGCUUGCUAAGAUCCAUGAUGGAUGGAUCUCUACAACUUACAUGUCUUGUGAUUAUAGUUUUAGACAUAUAUUAUCAAGACUAUCUUAAUAAUGGUUUCGGAAACCCAUAUAAUGUCCAAACAUUGAAUCACCAUUUAGUUGUAGCUAGCUAUCUUUGAAUUAAUUGAAACCAAGACUAUCCCAAAGAUGGUUUCUUCAUAGUCAACCAUUCUCUUUGAUUGUAGUCACCUUAAGCUACCAUUUAGCUUAUGAAGGUUUCAUUAUUUCGGGUCAAAUGGUACUUUACCAUUUUCUUGAGUAUAUAUCAUAUAUACACUCAAUGUAGUCAUAAGGAUUUUCAUUCUUAUUUCUUUCGAAUUAAGAGGUGUAACUCUAUGACGUAGUCAUAAAGUUCAAACCAUUCAACUUUGACGGUUUAUAAAUCCUUCUCGACUACCUUGGAGCUUUUGGUAUUGGAACUAGGUUGUUUAUAUUUGUUGAUUACUUUCUUGUCUCUCAAAGAACCCAUUCUUUGAGUUCUAUCUCUUGUUCAUUUGCUUUUAGGCAAAUCACAUUGUAGGAUUACAAUGAACUACCCAACAAAACAACAUUUGUUAAUUGGUUUAUAGAAGCGAUAUCCAAAAGUUAAUUUAAGGAUAUCCCACAAGAUUGUUAUCAAACAAAUAUUGCUUAUUAGCACACAACCCCAAAUCUUAACACGAUUAAGUUUUGUCUUUCUUUCCAACUACAUCUUAUGGAGUCAUGAAAAUUUUUGGAAGAUCUUCUAAUUGACAAUCAUAUUGUCUUAGAAGUAUAUAUCCUAUAUAUGGGUAAUAGAUAACAUCUAACGAACUAAAUCUUAUUCGAGUUCGUUCUUCUCCUUAAUGGAGAAAUUUAUUAUCUUAUGAUGCUUCUUUCCUUGAUAUCUUUCAAGGAGACUCAUCUAAAGUGUUUCUUUUCCUUGGAUCAAAUCUAAGGAGGUAAAUACUUUAGACGUCUUACUCAUCAACUUACAUUACUUGAAUUCUUUGAAACCUUUUGCAAAGUAUUCGGACUUGUGUUUAUUUAAAAUAAACUAUAGUCCAACCGAGGGUGAUCUUCGGUGAAUGUCAUACAACAUGAGUAGUAUUAUGUUGUGGAUAAGUGCCACUAACAUCUAAGUGAAUUAACCUCAACAACUUUGUGAUUCUUUCUUCUUUCCAAAAGAAUAAAGAUUCGAACAUUUCGCCUCUAUACAAUUUUAACAAGAAAGGUAUUGGAUCCGGAUCUAACGAUCCAUAGCAUCCAUCUAUCACCAACUCGUAACUUAUGUUUUUAGAGGUAUCACAAUUUAGUUGGGAUUAGUCACUACCUUGCAACCUUUUUGGGUUUUAAGCAUCAUUUUAUUCUAAACAGUUAACACCACCAUAUUAUCUCUACUAUAGAGACAAUCAAUUAGAUUACUAUAAUCCAAUCAUUGAUUAAUAAAGAACAAUGUUUUGUCAAACAAAACAUUCAUCCAUCUCUACUAUAGUGGCGGAAUUAAGUUCCUUAAAAUUGGAAUGUAAAGACAAUCUUUGGUUUUUCCAAUUUCUUUGGUAGUUCAUAUGAGGAAGUAAGUACUAUCUGCUUUCGCAGAGAUCUUUAUUUUAUUCACGUUCCGAAUGUGAAGCACCUUUUUCUUCUCUCAUAUAUCUUCUACUUCUUAUUAGUCACACUUUUACAACGAUUGUAAAACAUAGUUACUAAUACGGAAUCAAGCAUUCAAGUAGAAGAACCAACUGUUUUGAACUAUUCAAGAACAAUUUACAACACCUUCGAAAAGUGUGUUCUUGACACUUGCAAGACAUUUCUUGUAAAUACCCCUUCCAAUGUCCAUCCUUUCAUAAAGAAAGUUUGUUCCCUUGGAGUUAAUUUUAUCUUCUUUAUUUGACUUCUCCUUUGACUACAAUAGUCAUGGUCCCUAAACUCCCACUAUCUCUCUUGAAACUUAUUUCAAUUGUGUUAUACACAUCAAACAUUUUGGAGAGCAUGUGUUUAUUGUUCACUACAUAGUUUACAAUAAACUUAGUGAACCAUUAGGAUAGGGACAUAAAGGUGAAGUCCUUGCCUAGUUUCCGUCUCGUUAAGUGGUUUAUCACUUCAACACUCAAUGAUUCAAAAUCAUCAUAAGUCCAUGUUAAUGGACUAUUUUUGUCAACCAACCAUUAUGUUGUAAACAUAAUUACAAACUUUCAAGAGUUGUACAAGGCAACUCUCAUUUCUUCAUACAACAAUUUGUAAGUGAAGAAUCAUGGCACAUAAAGUGUCCAUGCCCUUGUGCUUACUUCUAAAGUUCCUUGUUCAUGUAACAAAGAAACAAGCACUAAUGUUUGCAUUGAUUAAGGGUUGUUCAAAGCAACUCUUAUUUCUUCAUACAACAAUUUGUAAUUGAAGAAUUAUGACAUUAAAAGUGUUGUCCUCUUUAUGAUAGACAUUUUCUAACAUAUUCUUCUACUGAUACAUUAUCAAUAUGAAGAUUGUGAGGAUGAGACUACUUAGGUACAUUUACAAGCCAUUAAAGACAAUCUAUGGUUUUGUAGUACCAAGUCCGGAAACUAAAGCUUUCGGCUUUUAUUUGUCAAGUGUUGGAUAGCGUUUGCAAAUAUAUUGGUAAACAAAUACAUAACGAAUAUAAAUUGAUUGAUUUUAAGCCAUUUGAUUCGGGUCUUUAAAUCAAAUAGCACCACCCACUAUUUUUGGCAAAUUCCAUAUCCCUCAUUGGAAUUCGAGAGUUUUGGAGGAAACUCUUAGUAGGGUCUCUUAGUAGGGUAUGGGAGACUCACUACUACCAAGCCCACCUCAGAAGAAAAUCAUAUUGGCUAGCGGUAAUAAUAAUGAGAGAGUACGCUUACUCAUUUGCAUCUCUUGCAAGUACCCAUCUAGUUUGGCUUCUAGAGAAUGAUGCCUCAGAAGAAUAUCAUAUUGGCACAUUGCACUUAGUUAAGUCAUUCCCACCAUGCUAGUUCAAGUAGGGGUUCAAGAAUGGCCUCAGAAGAAUAUCAUAUUGACCACACUCGUGCCUACCUUUCACUUCAUCAUAUGUGUAUAGGCUUCUCCUGAAUGUAAGCACAUACUUUUGCAACCCCAGAACUGGACGAAUACGGUGUAUGAGUCACAAACGAUUGAAGCCCACCACGGUGGAAGGCCACGAAAGAGUGUUCAAAGCACUCUCACGCUUAUCAACUUAAUAAUGGUUUGGUUGAGGGUUUUAGGUCUCAUCACAUAUAAAUAUUCAUUUUAAUCUUUAUUAAAACAAUUUUGGUCCUAUUACAACUAUUGGUCCAUAUGAUUGUUUUAGUCGUAUAUAAUACUCCCACUAUGCUUAUAAAACGGUUUUUAAAGCAAGAGUAUAUGAUACUACUAACAUAAACUUUGCAUUCAUUUGAUGGACUAUAUAGUUGCCUUAGGGCCUUAGGAUGACUAUGAACCUUUGUUUAGAUUCAACACGAGCCUUGUGUUGAAUCUUGGUCUAGGGAUGGAGAUUGAUUUUAGUUACGCGUUUAAUCACAUUAAGGCGUGUUGUCUUAGGGGCGUUGGACCCAACUACUUCAUUUUCAUGCAUAUCAAAUAAAGCAAGAAAGAAGUACUUCAAAGUAAAGGUGAGCUUAUGCUCAUUACAACAUUUGCAUAAAACAAAUUACCUUAAAGUAAAGAAGGGCUUAUGCCCUUUUACAACAUUUGAUCAAAUCAAAUUACAACCAAAAUCUAAUCUACACAUUCCCAUGGUUCAAACAAAUUUGAAACGGCCUUUCACAUAGCUCAAUUAUAUUAGGCUUAGGUUCAUAAUCAUCCUUUAAUUAAUUAACACUUUAACUAAUUAAAUUGAAUGCAACAUUUUCAUUUGGUUUUUUGUAUCCAUAAAAUUGAUUUAAAUGGAGCUAAUGAAAUGAAAAUCCAAUUCUCAUUUAAAGAGACAAAACAAUUUUGUUCUCAACCUAAUUUGGGCCAAAAUGCAAUUACCACAACCUUUGGGCAAUAUUGCAAAAACAUAAACUUUUGGGGUCACUUUGUAAGAACACAAAAGUCCACUACUUCAUGUAAUUACACUAGAACCCAAAAUUUAAACAAUGUAAAAACUUCAUUAAAGGAGCAAAACAAUUUGUCCUUUAGCGUUUUUGGACCUAAACGUAAAAACGUAAACUUUUGGGCCAAAAUGCAAAUACACAAAAGUAUCAAAACUUUAUGUAAUUGCAUAAAAGCCCCAAAAGUACCCUAUAAUGUAGGGUGGCCGGUUUUGGGAGAGGAAAGGAGUGAUGUGUGUGUUGAUUUGUGAGUUUUGACAUAAAGCAAUCAAGUGGUGCAAGUGGUGUGUGUGAAAGGAAAUUAAUCCUUACACACCCACCAAUAUUUCUUACACCAUUUAAACAAAUAUCUAAAACAUUUAAAUAAAAAUCUAACACAUUUAAAUAUAAGAUAAAUCACUAAACAAAGACUUUAUGAAAUAAACCAAAACUUUGAAUCAAAACACAAACCUUUUUGUUCUUGGCAAAAAUGUCAAGAACAAUGAAGAACAUUCAUGAAAAACCCAAAAUUUUUCCAUGAACAUUUUUCACCCAAAAACAUUCCAAAACCAUUCAAACUUAAGGGAAAUAACAUCUAACCAAACUAGGGUACAUAGGGGUUCCAAAAGUCACUUUAAAACACUUUUAACAAGUCAAACAAGAACCCAAAAAAUCACCCUAUGUAUUUGGCCGAAUUUUCCCAAAAGCAUGGCACCAAAUUUUAGCUCCAAUAUUUAUGCUCAUAUGAACUACAUCUACAACAUUUGAGAUGGCAAAUUUUCUAACAAAAUUUACAUUCAAAGAAACAAGAAUAAAGCUUGUAACAUAUUACAACUUUUAAAUCACAAACUAUGAACCACAAAACCCAAAAGGAUUCACCAACUACUAGACCUAGGCUCUGAUACCACUUGAAGGAAGAUUUUGUGAAAACAUGUUCAUUUGAAUAACAUCUAUAGCAUGCAUUUAACAAUUAAAAGGCGGAAUCAUGCUUGCAUGCAUUCAAAAACAAAACAUUACCUAUGAAAUUCAAAGCCUAGUAGAUUGGUGAACCAAGACUCAACUCAAAUCAAAGUGAGUUGAGAAAUUUAUACCUUUGUAGAUUCCUCUUUGCAUAAGCAAAGGCUAAUCACCCAAAGAGAGGGCCUUCAUUCCUUGCAUCUUAAAUCUAUGGAUUUGGAUGGAUGAAAAAGUUUCUCCAAGUUCCCAAAAUUGAGAACCUCUAAGUAUCUUCACCAAGGUUAGAUUGGAGAAGAAAUGAGUGACCUUGGAGUAGUUAGUAUGGCUAGAUACACCUUCCAAGGGGCCGGCCUCUUUAGAGAGAAAUGGAGAGACAUGUUCUCUCCAAUUUUCUCCAAAACAAAACCUAAAUGAAUUUUGGCUAUAAAGUCAUAUUUAUACCUUAAUUCAUUGGAGUGGCAAACUUGUAAAUAAGUCCAAAACCCACUCCAAAACCAAAUGGCCGGCCAUGGGAUAUUAUUGGCCUAAUUGGGCCUUUGUGAAUUAAGUUGUCAUACAACUUAAGUCAAUGGACUUGACGUUCGAAGCCCAUUGGGCAUUGAGGCCCAAAACUAUCCCGAGGUCUUUAACGAACUUUAUUCGUUUGAUUAAUUAACAUAUUAAUUAAUCCUUGCCAUAAAUAAUUAAACCAUUUAAUUAUUCUUACUCAUCUCCAUUGUUUUCUUCAAUCUCCACCUUACACGGUGUGUACGAUCCAUUAGGUUCCUUUUAGCGAGGCAGUGGGCGAUUAAAACCAUUUUACAUCGAUUGUGAAUUGAAACUUACUUUCAAUUCUCCCUUUAGUGAUUACACACGUUUAGGGCUUCCACAAACCAUGAGUGACACCUAGCAGUAUAUCAUGGUUACCCAAGCUAAUCAGAAGAGGUGGAGAACCUAUUCAGUUUAGGAUUACAAAUGCAAUACGGCCUUUCUCUAAUCUAAUACUCUUGACCACAUUGUUUGGUUUGAUAGUUUAUUUAUUCAUGUCUACUAUCCAAUGUGAUUCGUGUGCUUAUAUGAUUUCCUUGAAUGUGAUUUGGAACGCAUUCCUAAAUCUCAUUCAUACUCUGGCCAGAGGUUCUAAAUCAUAUCAUAGAGUAUUCUCCCUCAAACCAUUUGAAGGUUAGAGAUCCCUUGUUGCGCAUUCACUUGCCUCCAUGACUAAGUGGCUUAACCCCAACGAUGCCGUGGACACCCCGAUAGGGUGACUUUGACAUAAUCAAAGAUCAAGGACUUAACCACAAGACAACUGUGAUGCCUCAGGU